Molecule: long non-coding RNA, 161 nt
Organism: Maniola jurtina (meadow brown)
Lineage: Eukaryota; Metazoa; Arthropoda; Insecta; Lepidoptera; Nymphalidae
Exons: 3
Source: RefSeq, a predicted model, not a curated record
AUAUUCUCACGGAUGAGUGAUGACGGAGAGAAAUCGGAUGACGGAAGUCGGAGCUAGUGCGUUAGCUACCAUACAAAUAGUUCUAUGACCACUUUAGAACGUAUUUUCACGAACUCGGAUCGGACGCAGUACGUAAUCGCCCUUAGUAAGCAAAGUUACCC